UGGGGAAUAUUGCACAAUAGGCGCAAGCCUGAUGCAGCCAUGCCGCGUGUAUGAAGAAGGCCUUCGGGUUGUAAAGUACUUUCAGCGAGGAGGAAGGCGUUGUGGUUAAUAACCGCAACGAUUGACGUUACUCGCAGAAGAAGCACCGGCUAACUCCGUGCCAGCAGCCGCGGUAAUACGGAGGGUGCAAGCGUUAAUCGGAAUUACUGGGCGUAAAGCGCACGCAGGCGGUCUGUCAAGUCGGAUGUGAAAUCCCCGGGCUCAACCUGGGAACUGCAUCCGAAACUGGCAGGCUAGAGUCUUGUAGAGGGGGGUAGAAUUCCAGGUGUAGCGGUGAAAUGCGUAGAGAUCUGGAGGAAUACCGGUGGCGAAGGCGGCCCCCUGGACAAAGACUGACGCUCAGGUGCGAAAGCGUGGGGAGCAAACA
This 427-nucleotide ribosomal RNA is filed under the name uncultured bacterium. RNAcentral's name for it is "partial 16S ribosomal RNA". It matches the Rfam family "Bacterial small subunit ribosomal RNA", at positions 355 to 774 of the family's 1533-position model. The record is from RNAcentral.